RNAcentral lists this long non-coding RNA (1077 nucleotides) under Capra hircus (goat). RNAcentral's name for it is "lncRNA (ENSCHIG00000005526.1)". Lineage: Eukaryota; Metazoa; Chordata; Mammalia; Artiodactyla; Bovidae. The record is from RNAcentral.
CCGGGUAGCCCAGGGGCAUGGCGGAGCGCUUGUGCUGGGUCUGCAGCAUUUAGUAGAAACGUGUUUUCCAGUUUUUAGUAGAAACGUGUGUUUCAGUGCACGCACGUGAGCGAGGCUCUGCUGCCCUCAACCCGCCGGCAGAACGUGACCUGUAAAGGUGCCCUGUCAGCACACACCGCCGCAGAAGGCCAAGCAGGCUGCCAUUCCUCCUGAGAGCCCUGUGGCAAGCGGAGGCCCAGGAACAGCCACUGGCCAGGCGGGCCUGUUGAAACUUCGGCAGUCUGAAGUCCAGUCACCCAGCAGGGUACCUUGAGUUCACAGUCUUAACUGUCUCCUGCCUUCUCUCUGUGCGGUCCUUCCAUACCAGUGUUUCCUUCAACCUAGGGAAUGAGCUACUCUCUCAAAACCAGCUAGUCAAAUGUUGAACUGUGUGUGUGGAAAAGGAAGAGGCUGAAUAGACCUCUAGGAUACUGGUGUGAUGCCUUCUUUGUCUCAUGAUACCCGAUGUAAUUUCGAUGACCCUCCCAGAUGUAUUACUGGAUUGUCUGGAAAAUUUGUUCCCUAAAGAUGGUGUGCCUGAGGAAAGGGGCUUCAACCCAGAGCUUACUUCACACUGUUCUUGGUGUUUGGCCAAAGUCACCAGGAUCCAAGAUGGUAACAUCUACGUUUCAGGGCCUAGAAGAGACAAAGGAACAAAGCAAUAGAGAGAAAACUGUGAGUGCUCAUUAGUUCUUAAGAACAAUGGAAACUGAUGCAUGCUAUGGCUCUUUCAUUCUACUGUCCACUGUUUUGUCACACGACCAAGUCUAACUGCAAAAGGGUUUGGCAGUCAUGUUCUCAAUCAAAUGCUAACAUUAUAUAUAGAGGUCUAAAGCGAUAGAGUAGGAAGUCCAGCAGUCUCUGUGAUCAACACCAUAAAUUAGUUGAAAAAGCAAGAUAAACAGUUUUAACUCUAGGGGAAAAGUAAUGAAUUAAUUUUUAAGUGAUCAUUAACAAACAGAAUUUUUAAAUACAUAAUUUUAUACAUUUUACUACACAAACAACCAAAGGGAGUUUUUCCUUAUAUCCACACUUACC